UACGUAGGGGUCUAGCGUUGUCCGGAAUUAUUGGGCGUAAAGAGCUCGUAGGCGGCUUGGUAAGUCAGGUGUGAAAUCUCCACGCUCAACGUGGAGGGGCCACCCGAAACUGCCAUGGCUUGAGUCCGGUAGGGGAGUGUGGAAUUCCCGGUGUAGCGGUGAAAUGCGCAGAUAUCGGGAGGAACACCCGUAGCGAAGGCGGCACUCUGGGCCGGUACUGACGCUGAGGAGCGAAAGCGUGGGGAGCAAACAGG
This 254-nucleotide ribosomal RNA is filed under the name uncultured bacterium. RNAcentral's name for it is "partial 16S ribosomal RNA". It matches the Rfam family "Bacterial small subunit ribosomal RNA", at positions 524 to 776 of the family's 1533-position model. The record is from RNAcentral.